Molecule: ribosomal RNA, 468 nt
Filed under: uncultured bacterium
Lineage: Bacteria
Description: partial 16S ribosomal RNA
Rfam family: Bacterial small subunit ribosomal RNA
Source: RNAcentral
GACGAACGCUGGCGGCGUGCUUAACACAUGCAAGUCGAACGGAAAGGCCCUGCUUUUGUGGGGUGCUCGAGUGGCGAACGGGUGAUUAACACGUGAGUAACCUGCCCUUGACUUUGGGAUAACUUCAGGAAACUGGGGCUAAUACCGGAUAGGAGCUCCUGCUGCAUGGUGGGGGUUGGAAAGUUUCGGCGGUUGGGGAUGGACUCGCGGCUUAUCAGCUUGUUGGUGGGGUAGUGGCUUACCAAGGCUUUGACGGGUAGCCGGCCUGCGAGGGGGACCGGCCACAUUGGGACUGAGAUACGGCCCAGACUCCUACGGGAGGCAGCAGUGGGGAAUAUUGCACAAUGGGCGGAAGCCUGAUGCAGCAACGCCGCGUGCGGGAUGACGGCCUGCGGGUUGUAAACCGCUUUCGCCUGUGACGAAGCGUGAGUGACGGUAAUGGGUAAAGAAGCACCGGCUAACUACGUG